GAGGUCGGCAGCGACGAAAGGCUGGCCACCUACACAACGCUUCCGGCGGGAAGCUACACGUUUCACGUGCAGUCGGCCUCCAGUAGAGGUCCAUGGUCGCGAGAGGUGACUCUGGACAUACAGGUAGCUCCCCCUUUGUGGGAAACGUGGUGGUUUCUUUCGAUGAUCGCGCUGGCAGUCAGUGGUAGUGUCUGGCUGCUGCACCAGUCGCGACUGCGACGGAUGGCAGAGGCGUUCCAGGUGAGACUCGAGGAGCGCGUUGGAGAACGCACGCGCAUCGCGCAGGAAUUGCAUGACACUCUCUUGCAGAAUAUAACCGGACUCUCUCUUCAAAUCAGUGGUCUUGCGAAGCGCGUCGCCGAGCCUGAGCCUCUGAAAAACAGCCUUGUCCAGCU
RNAcentral lists this unclassified non-coding RNA (395 nucleotides) under plant metagenome. RNAcentral's name for it is "partial contains 5.8S ribosomal RNA, internal transcribed spacer 2, and large subunit ribosomal RNA". The record is from RNAcentral.